Rhineura floridana is the source of this 1284-nucleotide long non-coding RNA. RefSeq lists it as uncharacterized. The record is from RefSeq and is a predicted model, not a curated record. NCBI's taxonomy places the organism in Eukaryota, Metazoa, Chordata, Lepidosauria, Squamata, Rhineuridae. The transcript has 7 exons.
CAAUUGCAAGCUGCUGGGAAAGGAGUGCAGGCAAUAGGAGGGAAUGCAGCGAGUCCAACUCUGAGGGCCCUGCAUGGUACAUGAUCUGCCUGAUGAUGAUCCGAGCUUUCUGCUAACAUUUGCUCAUGCUUUGUGGCUUUGAAGGGAUGGUGAGCCGCGUUGGCUGGGGCUGAGUCGGAAUCCAACAACAUCUGGAGAGCCAUAGGUUUCCCAUCUCUGAUGUAGAACAAUUUUCUUGGAAAAACAAAAAUCUGAAAAAUAAAGAAUACAGAUGCUGCAAUCUGAUUAGUGAUACGAUAUGAAGAAUUUCCAAAAGGAAAAAAAAGGGGAAAAAAGAGACCUCCUCUGUUGAUAUGGAUGAAUACUUCUGGAGACGUUUGUUGUGAGAUACUGAAGAAGGCUCAUGUCCAGCACUGCCCUGUGUUCCCCGGAGAUGGGUUGGGAUAAAAAAAAUAAAAAAAAAUCAAGGAUGUUGUUGUGACUGCAUGCUCCAUCUGCUCCUCUCUCUCAUUUCACACUCCACAAUUGAAAACUUAGGAACAAAGGAGUCCACACUGAUUUGGCUGUCCAAUCUUUCAGAUUCACCUUUCCAUGGAAAACUGGCCAGUUAACUAAAAAAACCCUGCUGCACAUGAUCUGUCUGGGAUAGCUGAAUGAUCCAUUGCAAUAUCAAGCUCCUGUUUAGAAGAGUCUCUGUAUAGUCUCGGAACGGUAUGCACUCAUUAAUAAUGGGGCAGGAGACAACUAGUAAGUGCAGUGACUGUUUGAUCAAUGCAGUAGUCAUCUGUGUGAGCUCUGAAACAAUUCUUCCACUGACAUCUAGAAACUGAACUGUUGAGACAAGAAUUCUUGGGAGCACUUACUUAUGCUUUGUUCCAAAUGUGACAUAAAAUUCCCAAUCAAAGCUCUGCAACUUCAACUUCUCCAGCACCACAUGUAAAAAUAUAAUCAUAUGUGAAUCACAUGUAAGACGUAUAAUCAUAGAAUUGUGGAACUGGAAGCAAUCUGGAAAUCCAGCUUCCCCACUCCGCACCAUACUCUGAAUGUUUCCUCUCCAAUGUAAUGUCUCUUCACACUGUGAACUUAUGAAAUAUGAGCCACAAGGGUCCUUUUCAGGUUUUACUCACUGAAUUAAUGCCUGGGUGGGGCUAUGCCAGUGAGCCUUGUUCCUAAUGUUGUGCACCCCACCAGCCUCAACUCCUAAUGCUCAUACACUGAUGUGCCACACAGGGUUUCUUAUUGCAUUGAUGCUUUCACAUGUACAACUGUAUACAUGAAGUCUUC